Molecule: long non-coding RNA, 1316 nt
Filed under: Gallus gallus (chicken)
Lineage: Eukaryota; Metazoa; Chordata; Aves; Galliformes; Phasianidae
Description: lncRNA (ENSGALG00010001062.1)
Source: RNAcentral
CCUUCUUCCCCCUCCCCUAUCUGUUUUUGGAAAACGUUUUUUUUUCCCCCUUCUUUACAACCCUCUCUUCCGAAACCGGACGAGGCUCAGUUUGGGAGGGAAGUGGAACUGGAGAUGUUCCUUGACGAGAGGACAGCAUGUCAACAUGAGCGCGUCUUUGUACAGGCUGCGCCGGGAGAAGACAAGGCGGCGAUAUACACAUCUUUGUCCUUGAUUAUGGUCAUUAUGCAAAGCGAAUUACUAACAAAAGUUUGUUUGGUAACUAAUUAUAGCGCACUAAAUCUCUGCCUCUCUUCACUUCAGCAUAAUGUAUACAAACUUUUGUACACGCGGAUCAGAAUAAAACAAAGUGUUGACAGCAUCCAGCAGUGGAAAUUCACUUACACGAGACUUUUUUUCACUGAAGUGUUGACAAUAAACAUUUAAUGAAGGCAGAGACUUGGAUGUCUCCAGACAGUGUCAGAAUACUUUAAACAGACCAUUAGCAUGGCUUCUUCUACUUCAAACAGAGCACACUAUACCAUAACAUUAUAAAAAUACAAAGUACGAAACAAAUAAUCUGUUUAUACAGAUAUUUUAAGCUGUUUUCACCAGCUCUGACAUCCCCUGUAUUUAGUAACAGAAACUUACUCAUUUCAGAUUACUCGCGCUUAAAAAAUGUUAAAUACAGUUAAUGCAAUAUUAAUCGCCCUUUGGUGAUAUAAAAUGCAAUAUUUUCAGGCAGCUAUCGAGCUUUUCUAGAGGCAGAGCUGAUGAAAACAGUCACAGCUGAAUAGUGGAGAGAAAAAAGCUCGGUAUUUAUUGCUUUUGUUUGGCUUUUGGCUACAGAGACAGGAACAUUCUAAUGGGGCUCUGAAGCAAAAGCCGGGACAAAACACUAAGGACUCAAUUGUGCCUUGAAGGCAUGGAGCUGCAAUGGGGAUACUGCAGAGACACAUCACCUCCACAGGAGCUCCAGGAGGGACUGCGCCUCAGGCAUGAACUCUGCCUCCUGCAGCUCCUGGGGAAUAUGGCUAAUACACUCCAGUUGUACAAGGUACCACAUGUACUCCCCACCAAGUGAAGGAAGCUCUCCUGGCCUCAGAAGACCCACCAGUCAGAUGCCCUUCAGACUCAUGAGCCUUGCUUGCAUUCUGUGAAAUAACACCAGCAAAGGCCUAGCACUAGCAACGUCUGAAAGAGCAACCAUAAAGGCAAGUCAUAUAUGUCCCCAUACUUGGCUACAGGAAUGCACUUGUGGCAACUUCUUGGCAAGGCAGCUGGCAGAGUGUAGCAGGAAUCUUUCAGCUUACCACGUCUUUCCAGGUGUCUGAGCA